UAAGCGUGCGCAGGCGGUUUUGUAAGACUGUCGUGAAAUCCCCGGGCUCAACCUGGGAAUGGCGAUGGUGACUGCAAGGCUAGAGUUUGGCAGAGGGGGGUAGAAUUCCACGUGUAGCAGUGAAAUGCGUAGAUAUGUGGAGGAACACCGAUGGCGAAGGCAGCCCCCUGGGUCAAAACUGACGCUCAUGCACGAAAGCGUGGGGAGCAAACAGGAUUAGAUACCCGAGU
Molecule: ribosomal RNA, 230 nt
Filed under: uncultured bacterium
Lineage: Bacteria
Description: partial 16S ribosomal RNA
Rfam family: Bacterial small subunit ribosomal RNA
Source: RNAcentral